GCUCGCGCUCUAGGAUGGGUCCGCGGCCCAUCAGCUAGUUGGUAGGGUAACGGCCUACCAAGGCAACGACGGGUAGCUGGUCUGAGAGGAUGGCCAGCCACACUAGGAACUGAGACACGGUCCAGACUCCGUACGGGAGGCAGCAGUGGGGAAUCUUGCGCAAUGGACGAAAGUCUGACGCAGCGACGCCGCGUGGGUGACGAAGGCCUUCGGGGUUGUAAAAGCCCCUGUGGGGAGAGACGAACCGGCAUCUGGCUAACAUCCAGGUGCUCUGACGGUAUCUCCUUAGCAAGCAUCGGCUAACUCUGUGCCAGCAGCCGCGGUAAGACAGAGGAUGCAAACGUUGCUCGGAAUUACUGGGCGUAAAGCGCGCGCAGGCGGUCCCGUAAGUCGGGUGUGAAAGCCCCGGGCUCAACCCGGGAAGUGCACUCGAUACUGCGAGACUGGAGUACUGGAGAGGAGAGCGGAAUUCUCGGUGUAGAGGUGAAAUUCGUAGAUAUCGGGAG
RNAcentral lists this ribosomal RNA (506 nucleotides) under uncultured bacterium. RNAcentral describes it as "bacterial SSU rRNA". It matches the Rfam family "Bacterial small subunit ribosomal RNA", at positions 211 to 703 of the family's 1533-position model. The record is from RNAcentral.